UGCAGUAUGGCGUAAUGGUUUGAGUGUUGGACUACGACUCUGGAGGCCAGGGUUCAAUUCAUUGCUCAGCCA
Phrynosoma platyrhinos (Desert horned lizard) is the source of this 72-nucleotide non-coding RNA. The record is from the annotation of a GenBank genome assembly. Lineage: Eukaryota; Metazoa; Chordata; Lepidosauria; Squamata; Phrynosomatidae.